This 228-nucleotide long non-coding RNA is filed under the name Mytilus galloprovincialis (Mediterranean mussel). Lineage: Eukaryota; Metazoa; Mollusca; Bivalvia; Mytilida; Mytilidae. The record is from RNAcentral.
GGCUGUGGCCAUUGAUUGACAAAUUAAAUUCAUCCAUUGACUGGGACAAUUUAGGUGAACGUUUGUAUGUAACGACCACUGCUCACUAUGUACUUUUUAAAGACACUUAAACUAUGGGGUCACCAAAGGUUCUCAACACCUUAAUAAAGUUAUUCGAAAAAUUAAUCAGAAAUAACACGAUGUUUUGAUUUAUAUCAAUUAUAUAAAUCAAAACAUAAAGGUUAUUCC